GGUAGCCAAAAAUAACGGCUGCGUUUGUUGUUGGGUUUGUAAUAACACGGAUAUCUCCCCCUCCAGGGGCCCAAGUGUCGUAAACACCACCAAAAUACAUUGCUUUCCAAACAAGUAACCAAGCACCUAGACCUAAAAUAAUUAAGUGGUAACCUAAAAUGUUAGUCAUUUUGUUUUUGUCUUUCCA
Non-coding RNA from Tetrabaena socialis, 187 nucleotides. NCBI's taxonomy places the organism in Eukaryota, Viridiplantae, Chlorophyta, Chlorophyceae, Chlamydomonadales, Tetrabaenaceae. The record is from Rfam.